CAUGCCUUUCCUACCCUUCAGACUUUCUCCCCGACUACUGAACAAGAAGUGGCUGCACUUCUUUUCUUUCGCCCCAACCGCUUGCCCAGCCGAACAUAUCCCAUCUCACCUUAUCAGAUCUCUCUCCCCUUGUCUAGCGCCUUCCUUAACACACAUCUGCAACUGCUCUCUCUCUUCUGGCAUUGUCCCUGCUGACCUUAAACAUGCCACUGUAGUACCUAUCCUGAAAAAAACCCAUCUCUUUACCCAUCCUCCCACUCUAACUACCAUAACCAUAUCUCUG
This is a non-coding RNA of Pelobates cultripes (western spadefoot toad), 283 nucleotides long. The record is from the annotation of a GenBank genome assembly. Lineage: Eukaryota; Metazoa; Chordata; Amphibia; Anura; Pelobatidae.